RNAcentral lists this long non-coding RNA (417 nucleotides) under Olea europaea (common olive). Its description in RNAcentral is "long non-coding RNA (OEUR_LNC007823)". Lineage: Eukaryota; Viridiplantae; Streptophyta; Magnoliopsida; Lamiales; Oleaceae. The record is from RNAcentral.
UGAGCGGCUGUUGGGGGUGAAAUCUGGUGAGCGGCUAUUGUAAAUUUGUUUGGUCACCAGUAACUCCGACAACUGCACCACCUCCAAACACAACCACCCCCUUUCCUCCGCAACUCCUCUCGCGGCUGAAAGAAGUUCGGCUAGCCAAACCACAAGCCCUACCCCCAUAACUCCAUCUAAGGUAGAAACUCGGUCGGUUGGGAUGCUAGCACCCCAAUUCCCACAACUCCAUCUACAACAGAAACUCAAUCAGCUCCAUCUACAAUUGAAACUCAACAGAGAGAAGGUGGAAGAAGAGAGGAGUGAGAUGCGGAGACGAGAUGAAAUGAGAGAGGGAUAAAUUGGGGCUAAUGUUAAACAUAUUUGAUUUAAAGGAGGUGUGGGAUUUUUCGCAACUUUGAAAUAACGUUGUGAAAG